This 302-nucleotide long non-coding RNA is filed under the name Elaeis guineensis (African oil palm). RNAcentral's name for it is "long non-coding RNA (EGUI_LNC079711)". The record is from RNAcentral. Lineage: Eukaryota; Viridiplantae; Streptophyta; Magnoliopsida; Arecales; Arecaceae.
GAUCAGUUGGAAUUGGACGACAACGACAGGUCGACGAUGACGGUAAAACCUACAAAAAAAAUUUGUGACAACAAAAAAGAAGGAGCAAGCAUGUAAAAAAAGAGGAGAUUUCAUACUUUGAGAGUCUCCUGUAAGCCUUUAUUUAUAAGUGGAAGCAGAGGAGCCGUAAGAAGAAAUAGAAUCAGGCGAUUGGCCUGAUCUUGUUGAACCAAAUACUUCUGUUGUCUUUUUCUUUAUUAAGAGAGAUAUAUUUGUUAUUUCUUAUCUCAUCAAGAAUAUUAGAUUCAAGGAGAAAAUCCAAU